This 1002-nucleotide ribosomal RNA is filed under the name uncultured bacterium. RNAcentral describes it as "bacterial SSU rRNA". It matches the Rfam family "Bacterial small subunit ribosomal RNA". The record is from RNAcentral.
CGAAANNNNCCGGCACGCUCGUAGGUCUAGCGUUUCGGAAUAUUGGGCGUAAGGGCGCGCAGGCGGAUUCCCAUUUCGGUCUUAAAAGUGCGGGGCUCAACCCCUUGAGUGCACUUAAACUGUGAAGCUCUAGUGUCAGAAAAGAAGGCGGAAUUCCUAUGGUAUCGCUGAGAUGCGCUUAUAUUUGGAGGAACACUCCUGUUGAAAGCGCCUUUCUGGACAACAACUGAGGCUGUGGUGCUCAAGCGUGUGGAUCUCACGGGAUUUUAUACCCCGGGGGUCUUGGCCGUGUACGAUGUGAUACUCUCUGUGGUUGGGAUCUACUCCUUCUGUGCCGGCGUUAGCGUCAUGAGUUUCCCGCCUGGAGACUACGGCCGCAAGUGCUGACUCUCACAGUAUUUGACGGGGGCCCGCAAAAGCAGUAACAGUAUGUGGUUUACUUCGACUCCGCGCGAAGAAUUUUACCGAGUCUUGACAUUGAUUGCUACGGAAAGAGAUUUCAGGCCUCUUCUUCGGAAGACAAGAAAACAGAUGGUGCAAGGCUGCUCGUCAGCGUGAGUCGUGAGAUGUUGGGUUAAGUCCCGCAACGAGCGAAACCCAUAUCUUCCGUUGCCAGCAGUAAGGGUGGGGUCUCAGAAGAGACUGCGGCAGACAAUCCGUAGUAAGACGGGGAUAACGUCAAGUCAUCAUGCCCCUUAUGGCUUGGGCUACACAGGUACUACAAUGGCUCUUAAUAGAGGGAAGCGAAGGAGCGAUCCGGAGCAAACCCCAAAAACAGAGUCCCAGUUUGGAUGGCAGGAUGCAACUCGCCAGCAUGAAGCAGGAAUCCCUAGUAAUCGCGGGUCAGCAUAUUGCGCAGAAUACGUUCCCGGGCUUUGUAGACACCGCCCGUCACACCAGGAAAGUCAUUCACACCGGAAGCCGGUGAGGCAACCGCAAGGAACCAGCGUUCGAAGGUGGAGCCGAUAAUUGGGGUGAAGUCGUAACAAGGUAGCCGUAAGG